GUGUAGAUAUAGAAAGGGGUGUGUGUGUGUGUGUGUGGAUAUAUAUAUGCACGCAUACAGUAUAUAUAAUCUGUGAGGAAGAAGAAACCUUGGUUUAUCAGUUGUGGUUCCGAAAUCCAAAGAGCCGCAACGGCUGCAAUACAGCGCAUACUUUCCUGCCACUGGGCCUUGUGAAACCCUGUCAACAUGCAUGAGCCUGGACUGCAAUUCAUGUCAAGAGUGUGUAUAUAGUAUAGUAUCUACGCCUUUUUUUAUUGUACUCGUGUCUGCUGCUGAUCCCAUGGCUCCUAGCAUCCCCAGUCUUGAACCAUGGCACAAGGAUCCACACAUUUCUUCUGUCUGAAAGAUGUCUUCCCAGCCUGAAAUGAUAUUAAAAUGUCAACUAACAGCAACUCUAAUUAGCUGCAUUUCCUUCUUGAGUACCGUGUGUAAAAGAGACAUACAUGCUUUGUUUGACAGCUAGCUGCAGUUUCCAAAAGGGGAAUAAUAGAAACUUCAAAAUCACUUCCCUGCUCUGUUUGCUUGCUUUGGAAGUACAGUAUACAUGAAGCAUUAAAAGACAAGUCACAGAAGGUAAAAGCAUCUUAAAGCUAUGAGACAUCAACAGGCCUAGGAGAAUAAAAAAGGGCAUCACUCUGGAGCCAGCAUUCCACAGCUGGGUAGCCACACUGAAAAUGCCCUUCUACCUACCAUUACCUGGCAGGGCCAUUUGAUAUGAGCUUUGAAGGAGAUCCCAACAAUUAGACAGGUACAUGCGGAGAGAGGUACUCCAUGAAGCACCCUGGUCACAACUGCAAAGGGCCUUUUCCAGGUCCAAUUGAAGGUGUUUGAUUUUCCCUCUUUUUUGCUGUGAGCCAGGGGAGCUGCUUGAUCACCAGAGUGGUGUGAUUCAUACAAUCCAGUCUCAGCAGUCUGUUAGCUACUUUCUGAACCAACACAAAUUUCCAGAACAUUUUAAAAAGCAACAGUGCACAUAAUACUUUGCAGUAGUCCACAGA
Zootoca vivipara (common lizard) is the source of this 998-nucleotide non-coding RNA. The record is from RefSeq and is a predicted model, not a curated record. NCBI's taxonomy places the organism in Eukaryota, Metazoa, Chordata, Lepidosauria, Squamata, Lacertidae.